Aethalodelphis obliquidens (Pacific white-sided dolphin) is the source of this 438-nucleotide long non-coding RNA. RefSeq lists it as uncharacterized. The transcript is spliced from 2 exons. The record is from RefSeq and is a predicted model, not a curated record. NCBI's taxonomy places the organism in Eukaryota, Metazoa, Chordata, Mammalia, Artiodactyla, Delphinidae.
UGGGAUCUUAGUUCCUGGUCCAGGGAUCAAACUCGGGCCCUCGGCAGUGAAAGCGCGAGUCCUAACCAAGGACUGCCAGGGAAUUCCCUCAAGUGACAGUACAGUCAAAGGUGAUGUCGUUUCUCUAGUGCUUCAAUCAGCCUGGGAAGAGUCUGCUCGUCAUUGAUAUCCAAAAUUUCGCAGGAUGGCAAAGGUGGAAAACUCUGCAAAACCACUUCUGAAACCAGCAGUUCUGUAUUGAGUUAUUAAAAAUAAAAAGUUAGUUACACAGGAAAAAAAGUUACUCAAACAAGUUUUAACACUGUGAUAAGAUCCCCAGUCAACAUUGUACCUUGUUGGGCUGUCAUAAUACGUCCUUAAAAAUGUUAUAAUAAAGAAGGAAAAAUGGAAAAAAAAAGGUAUAUAAUAAAAGAAAUGUCACUUAUACUUUGGUUCAGA